GCCUUCGUGGUGUAAUGGUUAACACACUCGGCGGGUAUUCGAGAGGUCCAGGUUCGAGUCCCGGAGAGGACA
Molecule: transfer RNA, 72 nt
Filed under: Stegodyphus mimosarum
Lineage: Eukaryota; Metazoa; Arthropoda; Arachnida; Araneae; Eresidae
Rfam family: tRNA
About the family: Transfer RNA (tRNA) molecules are approximately 80 nucleotides in length. Their secondary structure includes four short double-helical elements and three loops (D, anti-codon, and T loops).
Source: Rfam by way of RNAcentral